This 253-nucleotide ribosomal RNA is filed under the name uncultured bacterium. RNAcentral describes it as "partial 16S ribosomal RNA". It matches the Rfam family "Bacterial small subunit ribosomal RNA", at positions 524 to 776 of the family's 1533-position model. The record is from RNAcentral.
UACGGAGGGGACUAGCGUUGUUCGGAAUUACUGGGCGUAAAGCGCACGUGGGCGGAUUGUUUAGUCAGGGGUGAAAUCCCGAGGCUCAACCUCGGAACUGCCUUUGAUACUGGCAAUCUCGAGUCCGGAAGAGGUGAGUGGAAUUCCUAGUGUAGAGGUGAAAUUCGUAGAUAUUAGGAAGAACACCAGUGGCGAAGGCGGCUCACUGGUCCGGUACUGACGCUGAGGUGCGAAAGCGUGGGGAGCAAACAGG